This 520-nucleotide ribosomal RNA is filed under the name uncultured Glomus. RNAcentral describes it as "SSU rRNA". It matches the Rfam family "Eukaryotic small subunit ribosomal RNA", at positions 569 to 1092 of the family's 1831-position model. The record is from RNAcentral. Lineage: Eukaryota; Fungi; Glomeromycota; Glomeromycetes; Glomerales; Glomeraceae.
AGCAGCCGCGGUAAUUCCAGCUCCAAUAGCGUAUAUUAAAGUUGUUGCAGUUAAAAAGCUCGUAGUUGAAUUUCGGAAUCAGUACGUUGGUCGUGCCUUAGGUACGUACUGGUGUUACUGGUUUCUACCUUCUGACGAACCAUCAUGUCAUUCAUUUGGUGUGGCGGGGAAUCAGGACUGUUACUUUGAAAAAAUUAGAGUGUUUAAAGCAGGCUCGCGCUUGAAUACAUUAGCAUGGAAUAAUGAAAUAGGACGUUGAUCCUAUUUUGUUGGUUUCUAGGAUUGACGUAAUGAUUAAUAGGGAUAGUUGGGGGCAUUAGUAUUCAAUUGUCAGAGGUGAAAUUCUUGGAUUUAUUGAAGACUAACUACUGCGAAAGCAUUUGCCAAGGAUGUUUUCAUUAAUCAAGAACGAAAGUUAGGGGAUCGAAGACGAUCAGAUACCGUCGUAGUCUUAACCAUAAACUAUGCCGACUAGGGAUCGGAUGAUGUUAAUUUUUAAUGACUCAUUCGGCGCCUUAAC